AACGAACGCUGGCGGCAGGCCUAACACAUGCAAGUCGAGCGGACCCUUCGGGGUUAGCGGCGGACGGGUGAGUAACGCGUGGGAAUAUGCCCUUCUCUACGGAAUAGUCCUGGGAAACUGGGGGUAAUACCGUAUACGCCCUUUGGGGGAAAGAUUUAUCGGGGAAGGAUUAGCCCGCGUUGGAUUAGGUAGUUGGUGGGGUAAUGGCCUAUCAAGCCGACGAUCCAUAGCUGGUUUGAGAGGAUGAUCAGCCACACUGGGACUGAGACACGGCCCAGACUCCUACGGGAGGCAGCAGUGGGGAAUCUUAGACAAUGGGGGCAACCCUGAUCUAGCCAUGCCGCGUGAGUGAUGAAGACCUUAGGGUUGUAAAGCUCUUUCAGCUGGGAAGAUAAUGACGGUACCAGCAGAAGAAGCCCCGGCUAACUCCGUG
This 433-nucleotide ribosomal RNA is filed under the name uncultured bacterium. RNAcentral describes it as "partial 16S ribosomal RNA". It matches the Rfam family "Bacterial small subunit ribosomal RNA", at positions 29 to 507 of the family's 1533-position model. The record is from RNAcentral.